CCUACGGGGGGCAGCAGUGAGGAAUAUUGGUCAAUGGGCGGGAGCCUGAACCAGCCAAGUCGCGUGAGGGAAGACGGUCCUAUGGAUUGUAAACCUCUUUAGGCGGGGAGCAAUGCCGGGCACGUGUGCCCGGAGGGAGAGUACCCGCAGAAUAAGCAUCGGCUAACUCCGUGCCAGCAGCCGCGGUAAUACGGAGGAUGCGAGCGUUAUCCGGAUUUAUUGGGUGUAAAGAGUUCGUAGGCGGUAUGUUAAGUCUGGUGUUAAAUGCAGAAGCUCAACUUCUGUUCGGCACUGGAUACUGGCAAACUAGAAUGCGGUAGAGGUAAAGGGAAUUCCUGGUGUAGCGGUGAAAUGCUUAGAUAUCAGGAGGAACAUCGGUGGCGUAAGCGCUUUACUGGGCCGUAAUUGACGCUGAGGAACGAAAGCCAGGGUAGCAAAUGGGAUUAGAUACCCGAGUAGUC
This 461-nucleotide ribosomal RNA is filed under the name uncultured bacterium. RNAcentral describes it as "partial 16S ribosomal RNA". It matches the Rfam family "Bacterial small subunit ribosomal RNA", at positions 338 to 795 of the family's 1533-position model. The record is from RNAcentral.